GACGAACGCUGGCGGCGUGCCUAAUACAUGCAAGUCGAACGAGAGCAACCGGUGCUUGCACUGGUCAAUCUAGUGGCGAACGGGUGAGUAACACGUGGGUAACCUGCCCAUCAGAGGGGGAUAACAUCCGGAAACGGAUGCUAAAACCGCAUAGGUCUUCGAACCGCAUGGUUUGAAGAGGAAAAGAGGCGCAAGCUUCUGCUGCUGGAUGGACCCGCGGUGCAUUAGCUAGUUGGUGAGGUAACGGCUCACCAAGGCCGUGAUGCAUAGCCGACCUGAGGGGGUGAUCGGACACAGUGGGACUGAGACACGGCACAAACUCCUACGGGAGGCAGCAGUAGGGAAUCUUGCGCAAUGGACGCAAGUCUGACGGAGCAACGCCGCGUGAGAGAAGAAGGUUUGCGGAUCGUAAAACUCUGUUGUUAGAGAAGAACAAGUGCUAGAGUAAAUGUUAGCGCCUUGACGGUAUCUAACCAGAAAGCCACGGCUAACUACGUG
Molecule: ribosomal RNA, 498 nt
Filed under: uncultured bacterium
Lineage: Bacteria
Description: partial 16S ribosomal RNA
Rfam family: Bacterial small subunit ribosomal RNA
Source: RNAcentral